AUGGUUGGAUGAAGGAUUUACUUUCUUUAUUUUAGAAUAUAGAAAUUGAUUUUUAAAUCAAAAAGUUUAAAUAUUAUUAGAGGACGAGAAGACCCCAUAGAACUUUAUUUCCUCCAAAUAUUUAUUUACUUGUAAAUAAUUUUUAUUUAUUUUGAGGGGGAAUUUUGUUGGGGUGACAAAAAAAAUUAUAUAACUUUUUUUAUUUAUCUCAUUUAUUUAUGAUUUUUUUGAUCCUUUAUUAUGGAAGUAAGAUUAAGUUACCUUGGGGAUAACAGCGUUAUUAUUUCAGAGAGUUCAUAUUGAUGGAAUAGUUUGCGACCUCGAUGUUGGAUUAAAAUUAGUUUUAGGGGCAGAAUAUUAUUAACUAGGUCU
RNAcentral lists this ribosomal RNA (372 nucleotides) under Heterocapillus tigripes. RNAcentral's name for it is "partial large subunit ribosomal RNA". The record is from RNAcentral. Lineage: Eukaryota; Metazoa; Arthropoda; Insecta; Hemiptera; Miridae.